GACGAACGCUGGCGGCGUGCUUAACACAUGCAAGUCGAGCGGUAAGGCCCUUUCGGGGGUACACGAGCGGCGAACGGGUGAGUAACACGUGGGUGACCUGCCUUUAGCUCUGGGAUAAGCCUGGGAAACUGGGUCUAAUACCGGAUAUGACUCCGCGGUGCAUGCUGUGGGGUGGAAAGCCUUGUGCGGCUGGAGAUGGGCCCGCGGCCUAUCAGCUUGUUGGUGGGGUGAUGGCCUACCAAGGCGACGACGGGUAGCCGGCCUGAGAGGGCGACCGGCCACACUGGGACUGAGACACGGCCCAGACUCCUACGGGAGGCAGCAGUGGGGAAUCUUACGCAAUGGGCGAAAGCCUGACGCAGCGACGCCGCGUGAGGGAUGACGGCCU
RNAcentral lists this ribosomal RNA (388 nucleotides) under uncultured bacterium. Its description in RNAcentral is "bacterial SSU rRNA". It matches the Rfam family "Bacterial small subunit ribosomal RNA", at positions 28 to 417 of the family's 1533-position model. The record is from RNAcentral.